CGUGUAGCCGGGAAGGCAAGUCAGAUGUGAAAUCCACGGGCUCAACUCGUGAACUGCAUUUGAAACUGUUUUUCUUGAGUAUCGGAGAGGCAAUCGGAAUUCCUAGUGUAGCGGUGAAAUGCGUAGAUAUUAGGAGGAACACCAGUGGCGAAGGCGGAUUGCUGGACGACAACUGACGGUGAGGCGCGAAAGCGUGGGAGCAAACA
RNAcentral lists this ribosomal RNA (206 nucleotides) under uncultured bacterium. RNAcentral describes it as "partial 16S ribosomal RNA". It matches the Rfam family "Bacterial small subunit ribosomal RNA", at positions 568 to 774 of the family's 1533-position model. The record is from RNAcentral.